RNAcentral lists this unclassified non-coding RNA (211 nucleotides) under Hevea brasiliensis (rubber tree). Lineage: Eukaryota; Viridiplantae; Streptophyta; Magnoliopsida; Malpighiales; Euphorbiaceae. The record is from RNAcentral.
GCCAAACAAUUUUCUCAGCGAAGAUGUAAGAUAUGCUUCCACUGAAGAGUGAAGAUAGACGCCUACUGUUCAUUUGGCGCGCAACUCUUGGACUUUUGGGAAAUGAUCACUAUCUUCAAUGAGUAGAAGAGUACAAAUAACUUGCAGAAAAAGCGUACCUCCUAUGGUUAUUUAACACAUAUCGACAUAUAGCUGUAAGUUUGAACUAUUG